CAGCAUUUGCCUUGCCUAUAAGUGGGCUGGAUAAGCCUGUGUUUACAGACCCUCCAGUUAAGACAAAAUUUGGAUAUCAUAUUAUUAUGGUUGAAGGGAGAAAAUAAAACUGAACAGAAGACUGAAAAAAAAAAUAAAUAAAUAAACGCCGCUUUUACCAAGAUAAAUGAAAGCAUGUGAAACUGGGUCUUAAGAUCUUAGGAUGUGUCCCCAACAGGC
RNAcentral lists this small RNA (219 nucleotides) under Neogale vison (American mink). Its description in RNAcentral is "Neovison vison (American mink) ZFAT antisense RNA 1 conserved region 2 (ENSNVIG00000016548.1)". Lineage: Eukaryota; Metazoa; Chordata; Mammalia; Carnivora; Mustelidae. The record is from RNAcentral.